UACUAAAUAAUAUUAUUAAUAUUAUUGAAUUUAUAAAAUUUAAAAUUUAUUAAUUACUAUUAAUUAUUUUUUAUUCUUUUAAGUAGGUUUUAUAUAAUUAAUUAAUAUGUUCGCUACCUGUCCUUGUGCAGUAUACAAAUUACAAAUCUAAACAGUUCACCUUUCAUGUGAUUUUCGUAAAAUGUAUUCGACAAAGAAUUGAAACUAUUGCAUAAACCAAGUUAAACUUAUGCUAGGUAAUCUACAAGCUACAACAAUCACAUUCAAACAAUCAAACCAUCAUAACUCAAAUCGUGAAAGUUCUGUAUAGUGUUAAAAGCCCUAUAAUGUAUUUAGUGGAAGCGUGAAUAGCUGCAUAUGAGGUUAGGUUAGGUGAGGUCUCCACUCUCAAACACAUAAUAUUGACAAUAAUGAAACAUCUAAUGAAGAAGCAAGUCCAUUGAUGAAAGACUAUAUUACUAUUUAAAACUAUCAAACAUUCAAAUCUUCAUAAGUCAUAGCACAGAUCAAUUCUAGUGAACAAGGAACAAUAGUGAGUGAUGUAGGAAUGUACCUGAGCCUCAAGGAGAUAAUCAAGAUUUUCAAGGAAGAAAUCGGAGUCCAAGAUCGUUCAACAAGUUACACGUGCAAUAUACAAGCAAUAUAUACCGGACGCGUAUCGGAUUCAGACUUCAAUAUGAAUUGUCAACAAAUAAGAGCUUAGUUUUGGAUAAACUAAGUAAAGAAUAUGUUACAUUAACUAACAUUGAUAACUCAACUUUGAUUCAACUCAUACAUCUUCUAUGGACCAUCACAAGUUUUUUUUUUCACCCUUUUAACCUUAUGGGUAAUUUCUGUAUAUUUAAUAGUUAUUAAUGUCUUAUAUACUUAAGUACAGAUACAGAUAUGAUUCAUAUUCUAAAUUUUAAAUACAAUUUAUUUAAAAGAUAUAAUUUAAAUACAUAUUUUUUUUUUUUUUGAAACACUACUUACACGUUCAUUUUUGUAUGGUUAAAAUUACUAGUUAAUUUAAUUUAUUUUUGUUUAAUCACAAUGUAGAAUACAAUGAUUUAAAAAAAACUAAACAAAUAAAAAUAAUUUUUUAAUUAAAUUAGUAAACAUGUACAUUAUACAUACUUAAAUUAAUUUAUGGACUUAUGCAAAGUCAAGACGUAUUUAACGUCUUAAACUAUACCUUAUAUGAUACAUAAAUUGACUUAAUGCAUAUGUACAUAAGACAUACAAGUGUUAAGAAUAAUUAUUACAAAAAUAGUUAGUCAUUUAAAUAAUUUGGAAUUGUCCAAACUAAUUGGUAACCUGGCUGAUAAUUUAAAAAAAAAAUGGAUGAACUUGUUUUUAACUUAGUUAAAUUUGUGAUUUUUUUAAAAUUAACUUUAAAUUGCCAAUGAGCAACUUCACUCAAAGGCAAUCUGUUACAUAGCGUCAUAGCUAUACACAAUCUAAAACGUUAUGUAUGUUACUUUAUCUACUGCAAUAAAGAAUCUUACCACCGAAUAAUAAACAAUAUAUUGAGUCUAUUCCAUCUCUAUUAAUAUUACCGAAAGGAAACUCUUCAGAUAAUAAUAUUAAGUUGUUGUAUAUCAUAUUUUUAUUAUUAAAUUUGUUACUUUUUAUUUAAAUAAAAGUUAUGGUUAUUUA
Molecule: long non-coding RNA, 1638 nt
Filed under: Acyrthosiphon pisum (pea aphid)
Lineage: Eukaryota; Metazoa; Arthropoda; Insecta; Hemiptera; Aphididae
Description: uncharacterized LOC100571669
Source: RNAcentral